RNAcentral lists this ribosomal RNA (864 nucleotides) under uncultured bacterium. Its description in RNAcentral is "bacterial SSU rRNA". It matches the Rfam family "Bacterial small subunit ribosomal RNA", at positions 8 to 916 of the family's 1533-position model. The record is from RNAcentral.
AGAGUUUGAUCAUGGCUCAGGAUGAACGCUGGCGGUAUGCUUAACACAUGCAAGUCGAACGGUGUUGAAAGACACAGUGGCGGACGGGUGAGUAACGCGUGAGAAUCUGGCUUCAGGUCGGGGACAACCACUGGAAACGGUGGCUAAUACCGGAUGUGCCGUUGGGUGAAAGAUAUAUUGCCUGAAGAUGAGCUCGCGUCUGAUUAGCUAGUAGGUGGGGUAAGAGCCUACCUAGGCGACGAUCAGUAGCUGGUCUGAGAGGAUGAUCAGCCACACUGGGACUGAGACACGGCCCAGACUCCUACGGGAGGCAGCAGUGGGGAAUUUUCCGCAAUGGGCGAAAGCCUGACGGAGCAAUACCGCGUGAGGGAGGAAGGCUCUUGGGUUGUAAACCUCUUUUCUCAAGGAAGAAUUUCUGACGGUACUUGAGGAAUCAGCAUCGGCUAACUCCGUGCCAGCAGCCGCGGUAAUACGGAGGAUGCAAGCGUUAUCCGGAAUGAUUGGGCGUAAAGCGUCCGCAGGUGGUGAUGAAAGUCUGCUGUCAAAGCGUCUAGCCCAACUAGAUACAGGCAGUGGAAACUACAUGACUAGAGUGCGUUCGGGGCAGAGGGAAUUCCUGGUGUAGCGGUGAAAUGCGUAGAGAUCAGGAAGAACACCGGUGGCGAAAGCGCUCUGCUAGGCCGCAACUGACACUGAGGGACGAAAGCUAGGGGAGCGAAUGGGAUUAGAUACCCCAGUAGUCCUAGCCGUAAACGAUGGAUACUAGGCGUGGCUUGUAUCGACCCGAGCCGUGCCGUAGCUAACGCGUUAAGUAUCCCGCCUGGGGAGUACGCACGCAAGUGUGAAACUCAAAGGAAUUGACGG